This is a long non-coding RNA of Pocillopora damicornis (cauliflower coral), 738 nucleotides long. The record is from RefSeq and is a predicted model, not a curated record. NCBI's taxonomy places the organism in Eukaryota, Metazoa, Cnidaria, Anthozoa, Scleractinia, Pocilloporidae.
AGAGAGCUGUCAUCAGUUAAUCAUGAAAGCACUUUAAAAGGAGCAGUAUUGAAGAUAGCCUUAAGUGAAGUAGAAAAUCUACCUUGGUCUGGAAGGACCUAUGCAAUGUUACGUGAAAUGAACAUGUGGAUGAGAAGUUGAAUUUGAUAUUGUUGAACUCUAUUUUGCUGACACCUAGGUGGUUAUGGCGAACUUGUGGCAAAGACAAGGAAGGACUUCACCUUGAUGAGGGUUGAGGCAGUGACAGAGAACCCUAAUGGAAGAAACUAGUUGUCUUGUACACUUGCUGCUAAAAUGAACCCUCUGAUAACUCCUCUUGCUACAAAACUGGUCAUCCAACAAAGCUCACCCAUUGCUGAUUUUUGGUGAAAGCGCCUGUUGUACUUCCAUGCAAGCUUGUGGCGCAAGCAGCACUGAGAUCAGGAAAGAUACAUCUGUGACAUCAGCAGUUAGGCGACCAAAGCUUAAUGGGAAAAUAGUGUUUGGCCUUCUUCCAUAGUCAGAGCUGUGUCUGCAGGUGAUAUCUAACCCAACUUUUUGCAUCACCUUUUUAGGUUGUAAUAUUGUCAUACUUCCCUUUGGCUAUCGAGGACACUAUCAGUUCAUGUGUAAUCUAAUUUUGAAUUAUCUUUACUUGCUUUGUAUUGGCAUGAAUUCUGUUCUCUGAAAGUUUCUUCAGCUCAAUAUACAUUACCUGUCUAUUUUCAAUUUAUUUAGUUCUUGGUGAUACUUUUAGAA